This 254-nucleotide ribosomal RNA is filed under the name uncultured bacterium. RNAcentral's name for it is "partial 16S ribosomal RNA". It matches the Rfam family "Bacterial small subunit ribosomal RNA", at positions 524 to 776 of the family's 1533-position model. The record is from RNAcentral.
UACGUAGGGGGCAAGCGUUGUCCGGAUUUAUUGGGCGUAAAGAGCUCGUAGGCGGCUCGGUAAGUCGGAUGUGAAACCUCCAGGCUCAACCUGGAGACGCCAUCUGAUACUGCCGUGGCUUGAGUCCGGUAGAGGAGCAGGGAAUUCCUGGUGUAGCGGUGAAAUGCGCAGAUAUCAGGAGGAACACCAGCGGCGAAGGCGCUGCUCUGGGCCGGUACUGACGCUGAGGCGCGAAAGCGUGGGGAGCAAACAGG